RNAcentral lists this ribosomal RNA (446 nucleotides) under uncultured bacterium. RNAcentral's name for it is "partial 16S ribosomal RNA". It matches the Rfam family "Bacterial small subunit ribosomal RNA", at positions 338 to 795 of the family's 1533-position model. The record is from RNAcentral.
CCUACGGGAGGCAGCAGUCGAGAAUCAUUCACAAUGGGGGAAACCCUGAUGGUGCGACGCCGCGUGGGGGAAUGAAGGUCUUCGGAUUGUAAACCCCUGUCAUGUGGGAGAAAAUUACAAAGAGAGUACCACAAGAGGCAGAGACGGCUAACUCGGUGCCAGCAGCCGCGGUAAUACAGAGGGCUCAAGCGUUGUUCGGAAUCACUGGGCGUAAAGCGUGCGUAGGCUGUUUCGUAAGUCGUGUGUGAAAGGCGCGGGCUCAACACUCGGACGGCACAUGAUACUGCGAGACGAGAGUGAGGGAGGGGGAACCGGAAUUCUCGGUGUAGCAGUGAAAUGCGUAGAUAUCGAGAGGAACACUCGUGGCGAAGGCGGGUUCCUGGACAUUAACUGACGCUGAGGCACGGAGGCCAGGGGAGCGAAAGGGAUUAGAUACCCGAGUAGUC